Molecule: non-coding RNA, 2941 nt
Organism: Macaca mulatta (Rhesus monkey)
Lineage: Eukaryota; Metazoa; Chordata; Mammalia; Primates; Cercopithecidae
Source: RefSeq, a predicted model, not a curated record
UCUGGGUCUGCCAUAGUGCCUGUAAUCCAACCCCUUGGAUCACUCUUUUAUAUUAAGGUAUUAUGUUCAAAAGGAGCAUAUUACCACGUGCAUCCCAGCUCCAACACAAUGGGUCAUUAUCUGAGCACAUAAUAGGUGCUCAGUAUCUAUCUUCUAAAUGGAUAAAUGAAAGGAUGGAUGCAUGAUAACACACAGUAGGUAGUUUGGAUGGAAGGAAAAGAGGAGCAGGAAAGGAGUGAGAGGUAUGAUUAUAAAACUGACAUUAGAGUAGGUGACACUGCUUUCAGGGACAGGAGACUGGAAUGGGUGAUCCAAAAUGAGGAAAGGUGAUGUAAGAGGGAAAAUAGGAUGUCCUUGAAGAUAAUACCCAUCUCUUUCUAGUGUUUCCUAGGGCCAGUUGGUUUUUAAGCAAAGCAUAUUGAGGGAAUAAAAAUCAAAGCCUAUCUCUAUUCUAAUGGGAACAUGAGGUAAGGAGGAAAAGUUAGGUGGUUGUGAUUGGCUGUCGCUCAUGAAUAAUCCCACAGGCCCUAUUUCUGGCCUUCUGCCAUUCAUGGGGUCAGGGAACUGAGAAGCAGUGGAAUCUUUCUGACUGCUGAUUUAAUUAAGUGUGGCUAGUCUGUGACAGAGGCUGACUCGGCACCAAGCCAAAGUCACAGGGGAGUUGGUCAUGUCAUUGAUGGGUGAGUCCAGCCUCAUGUUUGACCAAAUCAACCAGUCAUUUGGGAUAUCUGAAGACUUAUGGUUAGCAAUUGAUCCUGCUAUGGUGCUGGAAGUCACUGGUGAUUUGGUUAAAACUCAUCGAUAGAUAGAUGAUAGAUAGAUAGAUAGAUAGAUAGAUAGAUAGAUAGAUAGAUAGAUAGAUAGACAGACAGACAGACAGACAGACAGUGAAAACAUACUGACUGAUUCAGGCAAUCUGACAGUCUGGGGUAGCUACAACUUUAGUGAAACCAAGUAUUCGACAUUAUGUAGUGAAAACCAUGUUUGACUUACAUCUUUUUUCACUUCACCUAGUUGUUGUGGACAUUGUGCUGACACACCUAAGGGUGGUUUGGAAACAGUUGGCAUGUUUUCUUUAUGUAUUUUUCACCUUUGCCAUCUGUAACUGGGAAAGGGUAUCCUUCCUCCUGCCAGUUCUCCCCAGCUGAAGUCUACACAACCUUUACCCAGACAUCAGAAACAGCUGUCUCAGGCAGAAGGCGCUUGACUCCAGGUGGGCGCUCAGCAGCAAGGGCAGGUGAGAUAAUGAGCAACAAUAAAGUCCUUUUCAAGGAGGUGGGAGUCUGUUGGAGAGGUGAGCUGGUUAGCAUAUGCUGGCCCCUACUUGGCUCCUAGCAUUUGUUCUUCUGUGCAGCUUGUUUCUCAGUGUGAUAUCAGAUUUACUCUUCCUUCUCUUCCUCCUUUCCUGCCUUCUUUUUUCCCUUCAUUUACUGUGCAUGACACUGUGCUUGAUGCCACAGAAGAGUCAAAGAUGAUGCAGCUAUCACCCAUACCCUCAAGGAGCUGGCCACACUCUACCUAGAGAAAAGGUGAAGGGCAUGGACAUCAGAUUGUCCUCCCCUGAGUCUUCAGUUUUUCAGCCAAGUUCUGAGAUGACGACACGGACUGAACACCCUCAGACACCAGGCAAGACGAAAUCUGCAUAAUCGCAAAGUGCUGGGUACACAGAAGGACUAUGUGACGAAGCGCCAUCACAUGGCUGGUAGCCUGUGGUGAGUCACCGGACUUCUCAACUCCCACCUCACUGGGGUGGAAGGAACAGUAACCACAAUGCUCCACAACUCGGGCUGCACCCGUAUGAUUGGAAACAAUCUGUGAAAUUGUGGAGUGAACGACCCCGAAGAAACAGACUUCUAAUUCUAGCCUUUUGGAGAUUAUUAACCCAACUCCCAGAUUUUAGAGAUGAGGAAAGGGAGGCCCAGGGAGGUGAGGAUACAUGUCCAGGAUCACAGAGGUGAAAAGUGAGUUUGCUUGGCUAAGUUCAACUGUACCUACUUGUCUCCAGAGACUGCUCAGGAACUAGAACACCCUGAUACAACAUAGGCACCUGUGAUGGAGAUAUUCCCUCAAAAGUGGAAUGGGGCAUGAAGGAGAAUUGUCUCCUAAAAGCUGGGAAGUUUCUCCUAAUCCUUUUUAGGGUACCUUCCCUGUAUCCCAACUGCUCUUCAACUGCCGGAACUCAUGUCAGUCUCCAAAGAACAGUGUCCAAAUGUGUAUGAUGCCACAUUGGCUGAAGUGUGCUCUAAUUGUGCAGAUAUUCCCAUAAAUGCUAUUUUAUUAAGCUGAGCUACACUAAAUCUGUCAUCUCCAUAAGUAAUACCACAGCAAAUCUGUAGGUAAGUUCAGAACACUGCAGUGAGCCAUGCUGGGCUAUUAGUUUCAAUUCAGCGCUGUUUCCUGUAAGUUACAGCAUCUCAGGGGCACAACUUAGGCACUGAGUAAUAAGAUUUGGUUCCUUCCAGAUGCCCUCAGCUCCCCAAAACAACAGAAAUGGUCAAAGACAGAGGCAAGAAGACCAGAGAACCCUAAAUGUUUACUGUCUCUAAAGUGUUUGGAAACAGCUUGGACCAGUGUAGAGUGCUGGAACAGAGAAUCAAGAGCAUCAGGUUCGAUUCCCACCCUUACGAACUGCUCAGCCUAUGAAAAUUACUUUGUGUUUCAGGCCUCACUCUUGUCAUCUUUAAAAUGGCAACACAUAUACACACCCCUCCGCAGUAAAUACAGAGGUUCUGCAAGCCAGGACGUUAAGUACUUAGGAUGAAAAUGAUGACGAUUAAGUCUAUUCUAUCACUUGAUCCGAUUCUCUCUGACUGUUCUGCAGGGGGUAAUAACAUGGCCUGCAGAUGAUCCAUAAUCCACCAUCUUCUGGUGAAAAGAGAGGAAAGGGGUGUGUGUGUGUGUGUGUGUGUGUGUGUACACACACACAAACACAAUUUUAUAU